GAUGAACGCUGGCGGCGUGCCUAAUACAUGCAAGUCGAGCGAACAGACGAGGAGCUUGCUCCUCUGACGUUAGCGGCGGACGGGUGAGUAACACGUGGAUAACCUACCUAUCAGACUGGGAUAACUUCGGGAAACCGGCGCUAAUACCGGAUAAUAUAUUGAACCGCAUGGUUCAAUAGUGAAAGACGGUUUUGCUGUCACUUAUAGAUGGAUCCGCGCCGCAUUAGCUAGUUGGUAAGGUAACGGCUUACCAAGGCAACGAUGCGUAGCCGACCUGAGAGGGUGAGCGGCCGCCCUGGAACUGAGACACGGUCCAGACUCCUACGGGAGGCAGCAGUAGGGAAUCUUCCGCAAUGGGCGAAAGCCUGACGGAGCAACGCCGCGUGAGUGAUGAAGGUCUUCGGAUCGUAAAACUCUGUUAUUAGGUAAGAACAAAUGUGUAAGUAACUAGGCACGUCUUGACGGUACCUAAUCAGAGAGCCACGGCUAACUACGUG
Molecule: ribosomal RNA, 497 nt
Filed under: uncultured bacterium
Lineage: Bacteria
Description: partial 16S ribosomal RNA
Rfam family: Bacterial small subunit ribosomal RNA
Source: RNAcentral